RNAcentral lists this ribosomal RNA (253 nucleotides) under uncultured bacterium. RNAcentral's name for it is "partial 16S ribosomal RNA". It matches the Rfam family "Bacterial small subunit ribosomal RNA", at positions 524 to 776 of the family's 1533-position model. The record is from RNAcentral.
GACGAACCGUGCGAACGUUGUUCGGAAUCACUGGGCUUAAAGGGCGCGUAGGCGGCUUGCCAAGUCAGGGGUGAAAUCCUUCGGCUCAACCGGAGAACAGCUUCUGAUACUGGCGAGCUGGAGGGAGGUAGGGGCAGAUGGAACUUCCGGUGGAGCGGUGAAAUGCGUAGAUAUCGGAAGGAACGCCGGUGGCGAAAGCGAUCUGCUGGACCUCUUCUGACGCUGAGGCGCGAAAGCCAGGGGAGCAAACGGG